RNAcentral lists this ribosomal RNA (982 nucleotides) under human gut metagenome. RNAcentral's name for it is "bacterial LSU rRNA". It matches the Rfam family "Bacterial large subunit ribosomal RNA", at positions 1938 to 2925 of the family's 2925-position model. The record is from RNAcentral.
AACUAUAACGGUCCUAAGGUAGCGAAAUUCCUUGUCGGGUAAGUUCCGACCCGCAUGAAAGGCGUAAUGAUUUGGGCACUGUCUCAACGAGGGGCCCGGUGAAAUUGAAAUACCUGUGAAGAUGCAGGUUACCCGCGACUGGACAGAAAGACCCCAUGGAGCUUCACUGCAGCUUGAGAUUGAAUCCCGGUGACAGAUGCACAGGAUAGGUGGGAGGCGCCGAAGCAUUGCCCUAGGGCGGUGCGGAGCCGAUGUUGGGAUACCACCCUUCUGUUGCUGAGAUUCUAACGCGAGGAGUAACGACCCUGCGGACCCUCUCAGGCAGGCGGUUUGACUGGGGCGGUCGCCUCCGAAAGAGUAACGGAGGCGCCCAAAGGUUCCCUCAGGCCGGACAGAAACCGGCCGAAGAGUGCAAAGGCAGAAGGGAGCUUGACUGCGAGACCAACAAGUCGAGCAGAGACGAAAGUCGGGCUUAGUGAUCCGGUGGUACUGAGUGGAAAGGCCAUCGCUCAACGGAUAAAAGCUACCCUGGGGAUAACAGGCUAAUCUCUCCCAAGAGUUCAUAUCGACGGGGAGGUUUGGCACCUCGAUGUCGGCUCAUCACAUCCUGGGGCUGGAGUAGGUCCCAAGGGUUGGGCUGUUCGCCCAUUAAAGUGGUACGCGAGCUGGGUUCAGAACGUCGUGAGACAGUUCGGUCCCUAUCCGUCGCAGGCGUAGGAAAUUUGAGGAGACCUGUCCUUAGUACGAGAGGACCGGGAUGGACGUACCGCUGGUGUACCAGUUGUUCUGCCAAGGGCAUGGCUGGGUAGCUAAGUACGGAAAGGAUAAGCGCUGAAAGCAUCUAAGCGCGAAGCCCACUUCAAGAUAAGAUUUCCCACCGCAAGGUUAAGAUCCCAGGAAGACUACCUGGUUGAUAGGUCAGAGGUGUAAGUGCAGUAAUGUAUUUAGCUUACUGAUACUAAUAGAUCGAGGACUUGACCAA